Molecule: ribosomal RNA, 719 nt
Filed under: Cyphellophora laciniata
Lineage: Eukaryota; Fungi; Ascomycota; Eurotiomycetes; Chaetothyriales; Cyphellophoraceae
Description: eukaryotic LSU rRNA
Rfam family: Eukaryotic large subunit ribosomal RNA
Source: RNAcentral
GAAGCGGCAACAGCUCAAAUUUGAAAUCUGGCCUCUUUGGGGUCCGAGUUGUAAUUUGGAGAGGAUGUUUCGGGUACGGUCCGGGCUUAUAUUUCUUGGAACAGAAUGUCAUAGAGGGUGAGAAUCCCGUCUGGAGCUCGGACACGGCCUAUGUGAAACUCCUUCGACGAGUCGAGUUGUUUGGGAAUGCAGCUCUAAAUGGGUGGUAAAUUUCAUCUAAAGCUAAAUAUUGGCCAGAGACCGAUAGCGCACAAGUAGAGUGAUCGAAAGAUGAAAAGCACUUUGAAAAGAGAGUUAAAAAGUACGUGAAAUUGUUGAAAGGGAAGCGCUGGCAACCAGACUUGCAUGUCGGGGUUCCCCCUUGCUUUUGCCUGGGUUACUCCCCGGCGUUCAGGCCAACAUCGGUUUCGGGGGUUGGUUAAAGGCCCUAGGAAUGUACUUACCCUCCGGGGUAAACUUAUAGCCUAGGGUGUCAUGCGACCUCCCGGGACCGAGGAACGCGCUUCGGCUCGGAUGUUGGCGUAAUGGUUGUCAGCGACCCGUCUUGAAACACGGACCAAGGAGUCUAACAUCUAUGCGAGUGUUAGGGUGUCAAACCCUUACGCGGAAUGAAAGUGAACGGAGGUAGGAAGCCGUUAGGCUGCACUAUCGACCGAUCCUGAAGUUUACGGAUGGAUUUGAGUAAGAGCAUAGCUGUUGGGACCCGAAAGAUGGUGAAC